CCUACGGGAGGCAGCAGUGGGGAAUAUUGCACAAUGGGGGAAACCCUGAUGCAGCGACGCCGCGUGAGUGAAGAAGUAAUUUGUUACGUAAAGCUCUAUUAGCAGGGAAGAAAAUGACGGUACCUGAGUAAGAAGCGCCGGCUAACUACGUGCCAGCAGCCGCGGUAAUACGUAGGGGGCAAGCGUUAUCCGGAUUUACUGGGUGUAAAGGGAGCGUAGACGGUGGGCAAAGUCUGGGGCGAAAUGCCGCGGCUUAACUGCGGAACUGCGUUGGAAACUGGCGAACUAGAGUGCGGGCGGGGUAAGCGGAAUUCCUGGUGUAGCGGUGAAAUGCGUAGAUAUUAGGAGGAACACCGGUGGCGAAGGCGGCUUACUGGACCGUAACUGACGUUGAGGCUCGAAGGCGUGGGGAGCAAACAGGAUUAGAUACCCCGGUAGUC
RNAcentral lists this ribosomal RNA (440 nucleotides) under uncultured bacterium. RNAcentral describes it as "partial 16S ribosomal RNA". It matches the Rfam family "Bacterial small subunit ribosomal RNA", at positions 338 to 795 of the family's 1533-position model. The record is from RNAcentral.